RNA transcript from Prinia subflava (tawny-flanked prinia), 4747 nucleotides. RefSeq lists it as uncharacterized. The transcript has 3 exons. NCBI's taxonomy places the organism in Eukaryota, Metazoa, Chordata, Aves, Passeriformes, Cisticolidae. The record is from RefSeq and is a predicted model, not a curated record.
UAAAUACCCAAAUACCUGGGAAGUAGCAGGGCAAUGCUUUCCACUUAAAAGGACGCGGUCCUUCACCCUGCCUUGGGUAGUUUUGGGCAGGGAGAAGAGUAAGCUGGAUGCAGGGGCUAAGCAAAGAGCCAGGACCAGCCAGGGCCACCCAAAAGUGUUAAGUGACAUGGACAGGAGGACUGCUUUUACUCCCCUAGUUUUGAUAGCAAAAGCUAUGUGAGCUUCUUGUCCCACGCAGCUGCCAAUGGCAGGGCUCUCUUCCCAACAGCACAGGCAGCCUGGACUUUGGACCAGAGCACCAAGUCCUUAUCUCCUUCCUCAUAGUGCCCUGCAUGCCACCAGCCACCCACACUGCAGCACCCACUGAUUCCAGGAAUCCCACUCAGGGAGGGAGUAAAAGUGAGCCCAAGCUCUGCACCAAGGAAAAACACCCUAUCUCCUCCAUGUGCAAGAGUAUUGCUUACUUGAGGUUUUAGGGGUCAGGACUUAGGAUUUGUGGUAACUGGAAGUAUAAACAAAAAGAUGACAAGCUUUAAGGGUUCAGGUGUGGCAAAGUCCAGCUGUAAUCUAACAGUUGGGAAACCAGGCACCUCUCCUGUCUCUGCAUACCCCCAAUGUCACCCAAGGCACCUCUGUACAGGACAGAAAACUGGGCUUUGGACUGCUUCCAUCAGGAACAGCUAAAACCCUGUUACAUUCCCCUAUGGGAAUGGUUUCUCCCCCCUCAGGGACCCCUAAAGCUUGUACCAUGUAGUUUGACCCUUCCUUCCCUUUCUGACCCCAUUGGCUGUGUCCCAAACUGCCCCUCCCUGGCUAGAGCUGAAAAAAGACCCUGUUCCUCUGUGCACGCUCUCUUUCCCUCUGGAGACCACCUGGAAUAUAAACAUCUUGAUCUGCAGCUGAGGGUCAGAGCCUCUUUUGGGUCCUUUUUCCUGUCUAUCAAAUAUUCCUCCAAAGCCUUAGAAGGCCUGACCUAGCUUGGAACUUCAGAGGGGUUAAAAAGGAGGAUUUAUUUCAAUUGGUACCCAACGUAUAUUUUUAUUAAUUUCUAGAAACCCACGUGUGAGCUGGAGACCCCCAAACAGGGUCUCAGAAGCUUUUGGGAAGAUCAAUUCCCCUACGGCAUUUUUGGCAACAUUCUGUAGCUAUAAGUGUGUAGGGAUAGAGCUCGUAGCUUGUGUUUUUGCCGAAUCACGAGUGAGCUUAAGACAGGACCUUCGGUUGCUCCUGGCUCAGCACCACACUCCCACAGAUCAGAGAAAACCUACCUCCCACUCAGCCCUGUGAAGAACCCCAUCCAAGUUGUCAUCCUGCUAAUGCUGAACAGUCUGGCAGCUGCAUGGAUCAUCCCUCAGCCGCGUCAGAACGUCUGGGUAACCCUGGCACAGACACUUCAGCAAGAAAACAUAUGUUUGUCCACUGCAGCAGCUAAGAACCCUAUGUCCACCUGUCUGCAACUAAACCAACCAAAACCUACCUGAACCCUCCACGAACAAGGCCCUAACUACCAGAUCUUUCCCCUGGCAGAAGAGUUGCUUCUCGCACGCACGGCCACAUCCUGCCACUCCUGAUAAGACAAUUAGCCUUAAUCCUGUUACUAUAUCCUCUGUGCACUGGAACACGGCCCAGCCGGCCUCCUCCAGCCUCCUCCGCAGCAGUGACGGUGACUCCACGGUGCCUCCUGGCUCCUGACCCUGGAGCUGUGCAGGUCCCAAGGGCUGCAAUGCUCUUGGACUAAGCUAUCUCCACUGAUUAGUUCUUAUUCAGGAAGGCAGACAUGAACAAAGGGUAUAGAUGAAAAGAGAAACGGGGAGGGCAGGGGUUUAAAUAGGAGAAAAAACAAAGAUUUUCUUCAAGGAAAGGAUCCCCUUGGCUGCUUUAGGAGGAAACUCUGAAAACCUGGUCCAAAAGCAACGUUUGAAGUCUAGCUACUUUCAUAUUUAUAACGUUUGAGUCACUCCAGAAAAUCUACGCCAAAGCAGACUGAGUUGGACUACUACAGCCAUUUAUUUUGGAAUUUUAUCCAAGCCUUGGUUAAAGAUAAACAAUGUGCCUGGAUAUGAAAGAACAUCAAAGCCAGGCUACCAGAGCAGCAGGGAGCUUCCACCCACUUUGACAGCACCAAGGCAUGAGAUGGUAUCAGUACAACCCAAAAUAUACUUAUUCCUUCCUGCAGAGGCAAUGGAAGGCCUGGGAAGUUCUUGUUUGUCCUUGGGAGGCAUUUUUGCCAUGUUAAUGUUAUGCAAAGAUUCAGCUUAGAAAUCUCAGGCACAAUCAAGGCAUUUAGACCCGACUCGCUAAUGGCCAACAGUUAAUAGGCUGGAGCUGCAAUUCCUCUCUCGGGGACUUGAGGGUGUUUAAGCCAAAUCCAUUAUAUAUAUAUUACAGCUGCACUGUUGAUCUGUUACUGAAGAAAGGAAGCACCUCUCCAUCCAAAACACUCUGAAAAACAAAAGUAAACCCAGACUUUUUCAGGUCUCCACUGAUUUCCAAAGCAAAUAAGUCCAUCAGUCUUCCUAAACCUGUUUCCUAAACUUGGGAAAGAAGUGAUCAGCAGCACAUCUUAGGACUAAGUACAUGCCCAAGGAAAAUUCUCCAUGAACCAAAAGUUUAACAGAAUAUAAUUACCUCUAAAGCAGCACCUGAAUGUCACAGUUACAAAUCAGUCUUUGGAGCUUGCAACUCUCCUUUCAAUUCAAAGUUUAAGGCAACAUCAACACACCAAAACCCAGGGUCUUUCUUGUGAAAAACUGAUCUGCAAACACAUGGUCAACAUAUUGCCAAAUUGGACACCUCAAAAGAGUGACAAUGGGAACUUUUGGGACUUCAAAUAAACAAAUCUGAACUAAUCAAUCUGGAAAGUCUGUUUUCUAUUUGUGACUUUGGGUUUGCUGUUUUAUGUUUCUUUCUUUGUCUUAGCUGUUUGUUUGCUUUCAAUUAUGCAGGCCCCUCAUCCUAACCUCUGAAUCUCCCAGUGCCGUGUUAGCCGGGAGGCAAGCAGCAAGACAUUGUAGUCAUGGAUUAUCAAAUGUGAAUUAGAGGAUGAGCCAGAAGAGGCUCCUUCUCCAAAGGCUAUUGGUUUUGCUCUCAAAUCAACUUUUUUUUGGUGCAUCCCCUCCACGACAAGGGUAUAGCACCAAUAGUUGUUCCUUCCUCUGGAGUGGGGACUAUUUGCUGUUUCACAGGUCAUCAGGAGGUAGCAAGCAAAGUUUACCAGAUGUGGCUUUUAUCACCUCAAGUGGAACUAUUUUCUUUACAGGAACCCUGGUUUUUAAGGUUUUAUCAGAUCACUGCGAUUACAAAAGCCUCAUUUACAUGCUCAAAAGCUCCUAUAAAACCUGUAGUUCAAGGUUUAUUUGUUCUAGGUGGUUUUCAACUUGGAGGAAUGACUUGCAGACACAAGUAAUUUGUCCUAUAAGCUUUGACUGACCAGUUGCAAAGUACACUUAAACUGCACCUGCCUCCUGAGAAAAAUUCCAUCAACUCACUAACCAAAAGCUGUUCUUUUAGGAAUAUUUUUUAAAAGAGAGAAAAGAAGUGAGGAAAAGGGCUUGCAGCAAAAAGGAAGUUUCAAUUACUUUGUGAAAUCAGGCAGAAAAAUUAAGAUCCAAGCAAACUUUAUGAGCUCUGACAAGCAAAUGCUGAUGCCUUUGUUUCCUAUGUGCACAAAACUUUUACUAAGGAGGGGUGUGUGUGGUUUUGGGUUUGAUUUUUCUUCUUUUUAAGCCACAGAAAUAUGCUUUUUUUUUUUUUUACAACAUGCUUUGCUACAACUGGGUUUUGUAACUAUAUUCAAACGAGGGAACUGGCACAGAGCUAUCACAAAGCAGCUGAUCCUUCUCUAAGCAUCCACCAACAUUUCCAUGUGUCAAUAGUACUUCACAACUACAUUUAUCUAUGUAAGAAACCACAUUAAUAAGCCCUUCUGCCUGCCUGCAGAGCAUGCCAAGCAGAGUAACAAUGCAGAUAACAUAAGAACUUAGAGCAGGUUAAGAGACUCCAGAAAGAAAAUACACAAAAGGCCAGAUUUUUCAAAUUACUUUGGCACCCACACAUUUUUCAAGGCAGUUUGGCUCCUAUUAAGUGUGAAAAACGUGAGAUGAUUAAUUCAUGUUCUUAUGGUAAAUUGGAAAAUUAUAAAGCUGUAUAAAUUUAUAUCAGGUAAAAGUCUAUGUUUUAGGAGGUUUCUCCAUUCAGAAGGGAACAAAAGACUUUGCAGCUUUCUCAAGUAUUGGGAGGGGACCUGUUGAGAUGAGCCGGUAUCAGCAACUCACACCUUGGGAGCCACCUUCACAGACUAUCAAGCAAUAUCACCCAUAUCUCGAACAUUCAUCAACUAUAAGGAUCCAUAGAAACUGAACAUUAACACAUGGACUUGGGAGGGGAGCUCUUUUCAAUCCGACCGGAGAUGGAUUUGGGUUUGAAUAGCAACCAAGAAACAAAGGGAAAUAUUGCCAGAGGCAGAAUAAAGAGUAUAAAAACCAAGCCUCGAACAUGGCAAAUUCGUGUACCCAGCUAGAGACACAGACGGCCAGGGUCUAUGUCUAUGGGUCACCCUUGGCUCUCUUUUUCCCGGGAGAAACUCUGUCAAGUAAGUGUUGCUGUUUGUGGGGGUUUUUUUUAUUGCUUAAAAUUCUGUAAUUUGAUUCCAAAUUUUGUGAUUUGAAUUUUUAAUAAACGAAAUUAUUGAAUUUGGUAAUAAAUUGUCCUGGCAUUUAUAACAUUAAGCAUUUCAUAUUCAGUUUGU